UCCUAUGGUGACCGCUUCACUUCUUCCAGCGUCUCUUUGCUGGGCUGUUGGGAAGGCUGCUCUAGGAGGGGCGCGUCUGGGGAGAGGUUACCACCAAAGAACAUGAUUUUGGCCUAGGGGCUCCAAUAAAUAAAGCUGAGAAAUACCGUAAUACUCCCCAAGAAGUAAGAAACCAAGAGAGACUCAUCCAUAAGCUAAAAUUUACAGGUUAUUACAAUUAAACAAACAUAUUGAAGAUCUCAAGCAGACAAAUCAUGGCAUGGAAGAACAUGUUAAGAAACCUUUGGAACUCAGAAAAGUAUUGACCAGUUAUAGAUAAAUGGUUUAAGCAGCCAGAAUGUGCAUCUUUGUAAAGAAUUGAUUAAAGUAGACCAACUAAAAGCAGCUGGAAAAAGAGAAUUGUUAUUGGAUACCACAUACAGGGACUUUUAAAUACUCAAAGGUGCUUCUGCAUUUUUUUCCCCAUUCUUCAUUUUUGGAUCUUUUAAACUUUAACUUAGUUAUUUGAAAUUGGAAGAAGCAGAAGACUAUUUUCUUUGUUUUGGCCUGGAUAUAGCUGCUCCAUGUUCUUUAUUAUAUCAAGGCUCUUUUGGGACUGAACUUAGAUGUCAGCAAAAUAAUAUUAUAGUACUAGAAGAUACAAUAAAGUCUUAGAUAUAUUUGAUUCUUUUGUCAAGACUUUAGGAGCAGACAACUCAUCAUAAGAGUGAAGCUGAAAAUUUGGGAAAGAUGAUUCGAAGUAGAUCUAAAAGUCCUCGACGCACUUCUCCACCUCCCAGGGUACACAUGGGAGCAAAUUGUGAUUCAGAGCUUUUGAAGACAAGAGAUCGUGAGGAACUUAGAUGUAUGUUGGACAAAUAUGAACGUCACUUGGCUGAAAUUCAGGGUAAUGUCAAGGUUCUCACAUCUGAAAGAGACAAGACCUUUCUUCUUUAUGAACAGGCACAAGAAGAAAUAGCUAGACUGAGACGAGAAAUGAUGAAAAAUUGCAAGUCUCCUAAAUCAACAUCAACAGCACAUGCAAUCUUACGACGGGUAGAAACAGAAAGAGAUGUGGCCUUCACUGACUUACGAAGAAUGACCACGGAACGAGAUAGUCUGAGGGAGAGGUUAAAGAUUUCCCAAGAGACUGCAUUUAAUGAGAAGGCUCACCUGGAACAAAGAGUAGAGGAGUUGGAGUCUACAGUACACAGUCUUGAUGACGAACGUCUAGAACAAAUGGCGAAUAUGACUUUGAUGAAAGAAACCAUAACCACUGUGGAAAAGGAGAUGAAAGCACUAGCGCGAAAGGCGAUGGAUACAGAGAGUGAACUUGGCAGACAAAAAGCAGAGAACAAUUCUUUGAGGCUUUUAUAUGAAAACACAGAAAAGGAUCUUUCAGACACUCAGCGACACCUUGCUAAGAAGAAAUAUGAGCUACAACUUACCCAGGAAAAAAUUAUGUGUUUAGAUGAAAAGAUUGAUAAUUUUACAAGGCAAAGUAUUGCCCAGCGAGAAGAAAUCAACCUUCUUGGUGCAACACUCAGUGAUAUAGCUAAAGAAAAGGAAUGCCUGCAAGCAUGCUUGGAUAAAAAAUCUGAGAAUAUUGCUUCCCUUGGAGAGAGCUUGGCAAUGAAAGAAAGGACAAUUUCAGGCAUGAAGAAUAUCAUUGCUGAAAUGGAGCAGGCAUCAAGACAAUCAACUGAAGCUCUUAUCAUGUGUGAACAAGACAUUUCCAGAAUGCGUAGACAACUGGAUGAAACAAGUGAUGAGCUUGCUCAGAUUGCUAGAGAAAGAGAGGCCUUGGCUCGUGACAAUGAUAAACUCCAAGAGUCAGUCUCUAGAAUUAAGCAGGAAAACCAGGUGUUAUCCAAAAAAUUGACUGAAAAUCAAACUGAGCUUAGUGAUUUAAAACAGAAGAGCCAUGACUGUAACAGUGAUGUUAACAAGCUGAAAUCUUUACUAAAGGCUGAAGAGACUGAGAACCGGCAACUUAUGGAGGACCUUCGAAAGGCUGUUGAACAGGCUGAAAGCUGGGAAGCCAAAGCCCGCCAAACCGAGGCAGACAACAACACUAUCAAACUGGAACUUUUAAGUGCAGAGGCAGAGAGUAACAGACUAAAAGAAAAAGUGGACUCGCUCAAUAGAGAGGUUGAGCAACACUUAAAUGCAGAAAGGUUGUACAAGUCUCAGAUUUCCACUUUGCACAAAUCCCUUUUAAAGAUGGAAGAGGAGCUUCAGAAGGUUCAGUUUGAGAAAGUCUCUGCCCUUGCAGAUUUGUCUUCCACACGGGAACUCUGUAUAAAACUGGACUCUAGCAAAGAACUACUCAGUCGACAGCUUAUUGCCAAAGAUCAAGAAAUAGAUAUGGUGGAGAAUGAGUUAGAUUCUGCUCGAAAUGAAGUAGAACUUCUUAGGAACCAGAUGGCGAACGAUAGAAUCUCCAUGCAGAAUCUAGAAGCUUUGCUGGUAGCCAAUCGGGACAAAGAGUACCAGACUCAAGUAGCACUUCAAGAAAAGGAAUCUGAAAUCCAGCUUCUAAAAGAGCACCUUUGUUUGGCUGAAAAUAAAAUGGCCAUUCAAAGUCGAGAUGUUGCCCAGUUCAGAAAUGUAGUAACACAACUGGAAGCUGAUCUAGAUAUUACAAAAAGACAACUAGGGACAGAGCGCUUUGAAAGAGAGCGGGCUGUACAAGAACUUCGUCGCCAGAAUUAUACUUCUUCCAAUUAUUAUCACAUGAGCUCUACAAUAAAACCAACACCUAGGUGUCAUUCACCUGACCGUGCUCUUCAUCGAUCCCCUGAUCGAGGCCUAGACAGAUCACUGGAAGAGUAAGUGGUUCCAGGAUCCAUUCUUGUGGAAAAACACAUGGAGAUGUACACUGAACAAUUGGGGGAGGAAUCUGUCCUUUAGAGAUUUUUGACACAUGAAGGUUCUUCAUCCUCUGGAAAGCAAGGGUUAAAAACUGAACUCAAGUUUAUGCUGUAUAAUUGAUUUUAUCUUUUGAAUGCUUGACAAUGUUAAAUGUAUUUAUUGACCUCAAGAGAACAAACUCUGAAUCAGCCAUGGUGUUCUGUUUCAUACAGCUAAUCUCUUGUUAUUAUGCCAUAUUGCAGUGACUCAGCUUGACAUUCAGAAGGAAAAAUGCAUAUGGCUGUGUCGAUCCACACAUUAAUAGUGAGUGUAAAGAAAAAGAUUUGCCUACUCCACUAUUGAAGGCUGUGGAAUAACAUUGUUCCUGGAGAGAAAAUAAAGAAACUUAUGAAAAGAGGGAAAAGUGUUUUACAAAACUGAUUUCUUUUCCUUUUUUUGGUAUCUAAUGUGGUUGGUUAAAUUUUAUCUUUGUGAUUUGUGCUUUCACGUCUAAAGAAAUUGUGCCAAAAUUGGCAAACUUUUUUUUUUAUUUGAUCAAUACUGGUCUGGGACCCAGUAUUUCUCUCCAUUUUGGAACCAACUUAAUAAAGUCCAUAUCAUCUGAUUUCAAAGAAGCAGAAAGUACAAGUGUGUCAGUGAUGUUCAGUACAUACUGUUGUACAAUUCAAAGACCUAAUUAACAAACAUUUUCUACAAUUGUGUUUACUUCCACUAUUGUUAGAAAGGUAGGUGAUGAUAUAUCUGUAAAGAAUGUAA
Molecule: RNA transcript, 3609 nt
Organism: Vombatus ursinus (common wombat)
Lineage: Eukaryota; Metazoa; Chordata; Mammalia; Diprotodontia; Vombatidae
Gene: TSGA10
Gene name: testis specific 10
Exons: 21
Source: RefSeq, a predicted model, not a curated record